UACGUAGGGUGCGAGCGUUAAUCGGAAUUACUGGGCGUAAAGCGUGCGCAGGCGGUUAUGUAAGACAGAGGGUAAAUCCCCGGGCUCACCCUAGGAACCGCCUUUGUGACUGCAUGACUAGAGUACGGCAGAGGGGGAUGGAAUUCCGCGUGUAGCAGUGAAAAGCGUAGAUAUGCGGAGGAACACCGAUGGCGAAGGCAAUCCCCUGGGCCGGUACUGACGCUCAUGCACGAAAGCGUGGGGAGCAAACAGG
This 253-nucleotide ribosomal RNA is filed under the name uncultured bacterium. RNAcentral describes it as "partial 16S ribosomal RNA". It matches the Rfam family "Bacterial small subunit ribosomal RNA", at positions 524 to 776 of the family's 1533-position model. The record is from RNAcentral.